AUUGAACGCUGGCGGCAGGCCUAACACAUGCCAGUCGAGCGGAUGAAGGGAGCUUGCUCCUGGAUUCAGCGGCGGACGGGUGAGUAAUGCCUAGGAAUCUGCCUGGUAGUGGGGGAUAACGUCCGGAAACGGGCGCUAAUACCGCAUACGUCCUGAGGGAGAAAGUGGGGGAUCUUCGGACCUCACGCUAUCAGAUGAGCCUAGGUCGGAUUAGCUAGUUGGUGGGGUAAAGGCCUACCAAGGCGACGAUCCGUAACUGGUCUGAGAGGAUGAUCAGUCACACUGGAACUGAGACACGGUCCAGACUCCUACGGGAGGCAGCAGUGGGGAAUAUUGGACAAUGGGCGAAAGGCUGAUCCAGCCAUGCCGCGUGUGUGAAGAAGGUCUUCGGAUUGUAAAGCACUUUAAGUUGGGAGGAAGGGCAGUAAGUUAAUACCUUGCUGUUUUGACGUUACCAACAGAAUAAGCACCGGCUAACUUCGUG
Molecule: ribosomal RNA, 484 nt
Filed under: uncultured bacterium
Lineage: Bacteria
Description: partial 16S ribosomal RNA
Rfam family: Bacterial small subunit ribosomal RNA
Source: RNAcentral